CCUACGGGAGGCAGCAGUGGGGAAUAUUGCACAAUGGGGGAAACCCUGAUGCAGCCAUGCCGCGUGUGUGAAGAAGGCCUUCGGGUUGUAAAGCACUUUCAGUUGUGAGGAAAAGUUAGUAGUUAAUACCUGCUAGCCGUGACGUUAACAACAGAAGAAGCACCGGCUAACUCCGUGCCAGCAGCCGCGGUAAUACGGAGGGUGCGAGCGUUAAUCGGAAUUACUGGGCGUAAAGCGCACGCAGGCGGUUUGUUAAGCUAGAUGUGAAAGCCCCGGGCUCAACCUGGGAUGGUCAUUUAGAACUGGCAGACUAGAGUACUGGAGAGGGAAGUGGAAUUCCCGGUGUAGCGGUGAAAUGCGCAGAUAUCGGGAGGAACACCAGUGGCGAAGGCGGCUUCCUGGCCAGUAACUGACGCUGAGGUGCGAAAGCUGGGGGAGCGAACCGGAUUAGAUACCCGGGUAGUCCCAGCCGUAAACGAUGAAUGCUAGGUGUUCGCAGUGCGAGCUGUGAGUGCCGCAGUUAACGCGAUAAGCAUUCCGCCUGGGGAGUACGGCCGCAAGGUUGAAACUCAAAUGAAUUGACGG
Molecule: ribosomal RNA, 585 nt
Filed under: uncultured bacterium
Lineage: Bacteria
Description: bacterial SSU rRNA
Rfam family: Bacterial small subunit ribosomal RNA
Source: RNAcentral